GAGUUUGAUCUUGGCUCAAAAUGAACGCUGGCGGCAUGCCUAACACAUGCAAGUCGAACGAAGGCUUCGGCCUUAGUGGCGCACGGGUGCGUAACGCGUGGGAAUCUGCCCUUGGGUUCGGAAUAACAGUUAGAAAUGACUGCUAAUACCGGAUGAUGUCGUAAGACCAAAAGAUUUAUCGCCCAAAGGAUGAGCCCGCGUAGGAUUAGCUAGUUGUGGGUAAAGGCCCACAAGGCGACGAUCCUUAGCUGGUCUGAGAGGAUGAUCAGCCACACUGGGACUGAGACACGGCCCAGAC
This 298-nucleotide ribosomal RNA is filed under the name uncultured microorganism. RNAcentral's name for it is "partial 16S ribosomal RNA". It matches the Rfam family "Bacterial small subunit ribosomal RNA", at positions 9 to 336 of the family's 1533-position model. The record is from RNAcentral.